This 492-nucleotide ribosomal RNA is filed under the name uncultured bacterium. RNAcentral's name for it is "partial 16S ribosomal RNA". It matches the Rfam family "Bacterial small subunit ribosomal RNA", at positions 29 to 507 of the family's 1533-position model. The record is from RNAcentral.
AGUGAACGCUGGCGGUAGGCCUAACACAUGCAAGUCGAACGGCAGCACAGUAAGAGCUUGCUCUUACGGGUGGCGAGUGGCGGACGGGUGAGGAAUACAUCGGAAUCUACUUUUUCGUGGGGGAUAACGUAGGGAAACUUACGCUAAUACCGCAUACGACCUACGGGUGAAAGCAGGGGAUCUUCGGACCUUGCGCGAUUGAAUGACCCGAUGUCGGAUUAGCUAGUUGGCGGGGUAAAGGCCCACCAAGGCGACGAUCCGUAGCUGGUCUGAGAGGAUGACCAGCCACACUGGAACUGAGACACGGUCCAGACUCCUACGGGAGGCAGCAGUGGGGAAUAUUGGACAAUGGGCGCAAGCCUGAUCCAGCCAUGCCGCGUGGAUGAAGAAGGCCUUCGGGUUGUAAAGCCCUUUUGUUGGGAAAGAAAAGCAGCAGGUUAAUACCCCGCUGUUCUGACGGUACCCAAAGAAUAAGCACCGGCUAACUUCGUG